GUAUGAUUGUUAUAACACCUCCGUUCGGGCUCUGCCAGUGAAAUUGUGGAAUAAGAUUGAACUCUCGGCCCCUCCUACGAGGCUAUCGUGAGUCUAGACCAGACUCAUCUCGAUGGCCCACUAACAAAUGCGUCAAAGUUUGUCUUCCUAGCCCUAGGAAGUAGUAGCAUCGUCACUCUAAAUGCUCUCGAGGAACACAAGUGCUUAUCAACAACAUAGCCACGCCUUUGGGAUUUACGUCAUGAUCUUAUACUCUAAAUCCAAAGGCCUUUGCAUUAUUCUCAUGUUUUUUGACGAACAGGAGGGCUUGCGCCCCUACUAAAAUUUAUUAGAAGAAUCAAAAGGAAAGGGUCCAAAUAGGAGGGGAUACAAGGAAGAGAAAAAAUUCAGGAGACAAAAAAAAGAGACAAAGAAAAUAAAAAAAUUACACAAGCUGCUCUAGCCAUAAACUAAUCUGGGGUAGGUAUAUUUUCUUUGCGUGAAGCACAACUAAGCCAAAGACAUUUUUGAAGAUAUGCUUGCAUUGUUGCACACUUGCCUCCUGUCCUCUAAAGAUCAGAUUGUUCCUGACUGACCAAAUGCUCCAGCACAUAAGAACAGUAAUUUCCAUGAAGAAAGGAACAUUGAGCUAUCUUCUGAAAUCUUCCAAAACUUGGAAGGGCCCUUGAGAUUGGGGGACUACCAAUCCAAUCAUAUUCCAACAUUCUUUUGCCAUGUCACAAUGCAAAAAUAAAUGGUCGAUUAUUUCAACCAAGCUUUCACAUAGAACACAACUGUAAGACUGCAAAAACAUGUCUUUUCUUCUUAGAAUGUUUCUGGUACUAAGCCCG
RNAcentral lists this long non-coding RNA (830 nucleotides) under Sorghum bicolor (sorghum). RNAcentral's name for it is "long non-coding RNA (SBIC_LNC004409)". Lineage: Eukaryota; Viridiplantae; Streptophyta; Magnoliopsida; Poales; Poaceae. The record is from RNAcentral.